This 603-nucleotide ribosomal RNA is filed under the name Bacillus subtilis. RNAcentral describes it as "bacterial SSU rRNA". It matches the Rfam family "Bacterial small subunit ribosomal RNA", at positions 31 to 618 of the family's 1533-position model. Lineage: Bacteria; Bacillati; Bacillota; Bacilli; Caryophanales; Bacillaceae. The record is from RNAcentral.
CAGGGAAAGGGUUGCCUAAAUACAUGCAAGUCGAGCGGACAGAUGGGAGCUUGCUCCCUGAUGUUAGCGGCGGACGGGUGAGUAACACGUGGGUAACCUGCCUGUAAGACUGGGAUAACUCCGGGAAACCGGGGCUAAUACCGGAUGGUUGUUUGAACCGCAUGGUUCAAACAUAAAAGGUGGCUUCGGCUACCACUUACAGAUGGACCCGCGGCGCAUUAGCUAGUUGGUGAGGUAACGGCUCACCAAGGCAACGAUGCGUAGCCGACCUGAGAGGGUGAUCGGCCACACUGGGACUGAGACACGGCCCAGACUCCUACGGGAGGCAGCAGUAGGGAAUCUUCCGCAAUGGACGAAAGUCUGACGGAGCAACGCCGCGUGAGUGAUGAAGGUUUUCGGAUCGUAAAGCUCUGUUGUUAGGGAAGAACAAGUACCGUUCGAAUAGGGCGGUACGUUGACGGUACCUGACCAGAAAGCCACGGCUAACUACGUGCCAGCAGCCGCGGUAAUACGUAGGUGGCAAGCGUUGUCGGGCGUUAUGGGGCGUAAGGGGGUCGCAGCGGUUUGUUAUCUCUGAUGUGAAAGCCGCCGGCUCGACCGGGG